AAAAGGGCAAUCUUGACCCAUGAUCGUCAAGAUUUUGCUCAAUCUACAAAAUGGAGAUCUGGGUUGUUUAAAUUCUUUCAGAUUUUCCCAUUUCGUUCAGAUUUCGUGUUUUUUUUCUUUAAUUUCAUCGGAUUUCGGGAAAAUCUCGAAAAAAUAUGGACCAUUCAAGAUUCAUCACUCCUAUAAAUCCCAAGAUUUUUUCUUGAUUUUGAUGGGAGGAGGAGGAGAAGGAGAAGAAUGCCUCGAGAAGAACACAUUUUAGGGGUCUAGUAGCUACAGCGGCGGCGGCGCCGCCGCCGGCGGCGCCGGCGGUGGUUGCAG
RNAcentral lists this long non-coding RNA (321 nucleotides) under Erythranthe guttata (spotted monkey flower). RNAcentral describes it as "long non-coding RNA (EGUT_LNC002658)". The record is from RNAcentral. Lineage: Eukaryota; Viridiplantae; Streptophyta; Magnoliopsida; Lamiales; Phrymaceae.